RNAcentral lists this ribosomal RNA (441 nucleotides) under uncultured bacterium. Its description in RNAcentral is "partial 16S ribosomal RNA". It matches the Rfam family "Bacterial small subunit ribosomal RNA", at positions 338 to 794 of the family's 1533-position model. The record is from RNAcentral.
CCUACGGGAGGCAGCAGUGGGGGAUAUUGCACAAUGGGGGAAACCCUGAUGCAGCGACGCCGCGUGGGCGAAGAAGUAUUUCGGUAUGUAAAGCCCUAUCAGCAGGGAAGAAGAAAUGACGGUACCUGAGUAAGAAGCACCGGCUAAAUACGUGCCAGCAGCCGCGGUAAUACGUAUGGUGCAAGCGUUAUCCGGAUUUACUGGGUGUAAAGGGAGCGCAGGCGGCACGGCAAGCCUGAUGUGAAAGCCCGCGGCCCAACCGCGGGACUGCAUUGGGAACUACCGGGCUGGAGUGCCGGAGAGGUAGGCGGAAUUCCUAGUGUAGCGGUGAAAUGCGUAGAUAUUAGGAGGAACACCAGUGGCGAAGGCGGCUUACUGGACGGUGACUGACGCUGAGGCUCGAAAGCGUGGGGAGCAAACAGGAUUAGAUACCCCGGUAGU